AUGGACGAGGGGAACACCAACAUCACCAAGAUGCUGGAGUCGCUGCUCGCCAAGAUCGACGAUCAGAAGGCGACUCACGAGAAGCAGAUCGAGCUCCAGGCCGCCUUCAACGCGCAGAUCUCGCAAGAGAUGCGCGGCCUAGCGCGGCAGCUCGAUCUGACGCAGGCGGACCUCGACCUCACGCGCAAGACGGCGGAAGGAUCCUCUCCAUCAGACUCGGUCACCACGCACAUCCACCAGCCCGCGCAACCGCAGCAACCCCCACCGCCUCCGGAUCCGUACCGGCCGUCGUCGUCGCACGCGCGCCUGGGCGAUCACCGCCCUCCCCUCCUUCCGGUGCCGCCACAGGGAGGGUUCGUCGCCGCUCCGACCGCGUCUCCGCCGGGCUACCACUCCAACGAGUACCACAAGCCCCCGAAACAUGGUUUCCCCAAGUUCGACGGAACGGCGCCGUACUUAUGGCUGGACCGCUGCCUCGCCUACUUCGAGCUCUACAAGUUGGCUGCACACCAGUGGGUCGCCACCGCCACGCUCUACAUCGACGGCCAGGCAGCACACUGGCUCCAAGCGUUCCGCCAAUCGCAUCGCAACAUCACGUGGGACGUGUUUACAUCGGCGAUCCUGGAGGAGUUUGGCGCCGACGAGUUCGAGAUGGUGAUGCACAAGCUCCUGCAACUCCGGCAGACAGGCACCGUCGCCGAGUACCGUGCUGCCUUCGACGAGCAGAUGUACCACUUGCUCGCACUCGAUCCGUCCAUCAACACCAAGUUCUUCGUCACGCAAUUCCUCCUCGGCCUGAAGGACGAACUGCGUGCCCCGGUGCGGCUCCAGGCGCCGUCAAGCAUCACGCGCGCCUCGGUGCUCGCGCGCAUACAGGAGGAAGAACUGGGCACGUACCGUGCACGCCCCCGCAUCACACCCGCUGGCCGACCACCACCGACAGCUGCCGCGGCCGCGCCACAGCGCGCCGUGGCCGCGCCGGCGCGUGCCCAAGGGGACGAGUACGCGCGGGAGAGGCAGCUGCGCGACUUCCGCCGAGCGAACAACCUCUGUUUCAAGUGUGGGGAUCGGUACUCCAGAGAGCAUCGCUGCGCCCAGCCCGCGCAGUUGCUCACCAUCAACGUGGGCGACCACGGCGAGGUGCUAUCCGACGACACCAUCCACGCCUUGCAACUGCUCGACGAUCCGGGGCCAGCGGCGCAAUCUCCUGCUCCGGCCGCGGACGCGCCAGAGUGCUGCCUCCUCUCAUCCCAGGCGCUCGACGGCACAGACUCCACAACGACGAUCCGGUUGCGCGCCCUCGUCGGGAACCAGGUCAUGCUCCUGUUGCUCGACUCGGGCAGCACCCACAGUUUCGUCAACAAGGCCUUCGUCGAUCGCCUCGGCCUCGCCACGGAAGAAAUGCCGCCAACGGAGGUGCGGGUGGCCAACGGCGACAAGCUCACGUGCACGCGCAGGGUGCCCGGCCUCAAGUGGUGGAUGCAGGGUCACACCUUCAACACGCCCAUGCGCGAACUGGAGAUCGGCGCGUACGAUGGCAUUCUGGGCAUGGACUGGCUCGCCCAGAACAGUCCGAUGACAUGCCACUGGCAGGACAAGUGGGUGAAAUUCCAGCACGACGGCGCAGAAGUUACCCUGCGCGGCGUGUCCACCAAGCCGGCCACCUCCAUCAAGGCCGUAGGACCCGAAGAGCUGCGCAAGAUGGUGGCCGGAAACGACGUUUAG
RNAcentral lists this ribosomal RNA (1725 nucleotides) under Triticum aestivum (bread wheat). RNAcentral's name for it is "partial small subunit ribosomal RNA". The record is from RNAcentral. Lineage: Eukaryota; Viridiplantae; Streptophyta; Magnoliopsida; Poales; Poaceae.